AAUAAACGCUGGCGGCGUGCUUAACACAUGCAAGUCGAACGGUAAGGCCCUUCGGGGUACACGAGUGGCGAACGGGUGAGUAACACGUUGGUGAUCUGCCCUGCACUUCGGGAUAAGCCUGGGAAACUGGGUCUAAUACCGGAUAGGACCCUGGGAUGCAUGUCCUGGGGGUGAAAGCUUUUGCGGUGUGGGAUGGGCGCGCGGCCUAUCAGCUUUUGGGUGGGUUGAUGGCCUACCAAGGCGACGACGGGUAGCCGGCCUGAGAGGGUGACCGGCCACACUGGGACUGAGAUACGGCCCAGACUCCUACGGGAGGCAGCAGUGGGGAAUAUUGCACAAUGGGCGCAAGCCUGAUGCAGCGACGCCGCGUGAGGGAUGACGGCCUUCGGGUUGUAAACCUCUUUCAGCACCGACGAAGCGCAAGUGACGGUAGGUGCAGAAGAAGGACCGGCCAACUACGUGCCAGCCGCCGCCGUAA
This 478-nucleotide ribosomal RNA is filed under the name uncultured bacterium. RNAcentral describes it as "partial 16S ribosomal RNA". It matches the Rfam family "Bacterial small subunit ribosomal RNA", at positions 28 to 523 of the family's 1533-position model. The record is from RNAcentral.